AGUUUCUCUCUUAUUAUUCCAUAUUUUACUCUAUUGAUUGAGUAAAAUGCGCCUGCACCUCUAAAUUUGUGAGGAUAUGUUACUUAGGUUCAUCAUUUUGAAAGUGCAUUUUUAGAUUUAUAAACUUUUAAAACCGUUUGUCAUAGGUCCAUACACAUCCAAGCAUGCAUCUAUCGCUGACAUGGCAUACUGACGUGUCUUUUCAGACAUCUCUUAGCUGGGACCAGUUUUUCAUGCAAGAAAAUCCAGUUUUUCAUGCAAGGACCAAGCACAUAGAAGUUCAUUAUCACUACAUAAGAGAAAAGGUUCUUGAGGAAGAAAUUGAGAUGGUGCCUACAAAGACUGAUGAGCAGAUUGCCGACAUCUUCACAAAAGGUCUGAACAAGGCAAAGUUCGAGAAGUUUCGGGAGGCACUCAGCAUGGUCUGCAAGACAACUCUGGAGAGAAGUUUGCAUUGAGGGGAGUAUUGAAGAAAAGCAAUACAAAUUUCUAGAACCUUCCCCACAACUCAUGAUCCAUGAUAUUUUCCAUGAAGACACUAGAUGUUGUUGCCAUGAAGAAAUUUUAAUAUUGUCUAGUGAAAACUCUAGAAGGGGACACAUGUCAUCAUCCUAUGAACUCCCUUGACCUAUAAAUAGAGGCCCCCUUCCUUGCCAUGCCAUUCAACCAUGAGCAUGGUAGAUGAGUGGAGUAUGGUAGAAGUAAAGGAUGAGUGCUAGACUAGUCACUAAAGAGAGGGCGUUGUACACUCUUGUGUAAUAUUGUUGUGUUGUAAUUUGAUCUGCAUAGCUAACAGUGACAAAUCAUACUAACUACACAGUGUAUCAGGCUUAGAAAUAGUCGUGGUUGCUUAUUCAGAGGAUACAAUAUUGCUGGUAUCUAUUUACAGGUGUGGAAGACAAGACAUCUUUCACAGAUUAGGUACAUUUUGUAAAGGCUCAAAUUUAUAAGCAACAGCAAGAUAGAAACUGGGUUGCAAAACUAUACACAUCAUGCAGAGUACUCUGAUAUAUAAAUUAUGACCAGCAUUAAAAAGAAAUCAACUUUCCAGGGAGCUUGAGUAAUAAUAGAGCAUGUAAAUUUGCAGCACAUCACUGAAGGUAUAACUCACACUGAAUAAGCCAAAAUACAGUGCUACAAACAAACUACUAACCAAACACGUUAGUAAAAAAGAAGUAAAUCAUAUAGAGUAGGCUCUCAGCCGCACCCCCUGCCCCCUUUCUCCCACAAGCACGCACACAAACAACAUUAUGACAGUUUCACACAAAAUAAAAAAAACUAAACAGUUAGUGAACUCAGUCAUACAAGUGAAACAAAAUUACUAUGUUGCACCAACAACAGAGAAGCAACAAAAAUAGAAUACAAUUGAAACAAAACCAAUUGCUCGUAACUCAGUCACCAGUUGUUCAAGGAAGAUGAGAACAACAAAUUCAAACAAUCAUCCAUAGAGUCGGAACAUAAAGAUCACUAAGGGACAAUCCUCACCUUUCAUAUCCAGCUCGAUCCACUUGUCCCAUCUCAUCGUUGUCUCAUUGAACUCCCUGCGUUUCACUACAAUACAUGACAAAAAACAAUAGACUAGGCACACAGUUAAUGCAAAGGUGAUUAGAUAACAUAUAGGCAAAGCCUUGCACAUAAGGUCAUCUACAUUUAAGCUAUGAAAAAACGUAUGCAGUUCAUCGUUUACACAGGAAAAAACGUCCAAACAUAAUGGCCAUCACAUAUAUACCAAUAAUAAUCUAGUUCAUAUACAUCCGAUGGUGCAGUAGCAAAAUAAGAUACAAAUGCAGUUCUCUUGUAUGUACACUGAGAAGUGAGAAUUCCGAUCACCAACCAUUCUUACAAAUAAAUGGGAGCAAUAGUGAUAUACCAGUCUUGUUAUCAGAGGCUUCUUUAGGGCUCUUUUAUCCCUAUGAUAAAGGUACGCUAAGCAUGAAGCGAAAGUAGCCAAGGCAAGGAGUGCGGGAAUAUAUCUUGGCGUGGGGGAUUGGAGCAGCUUCGUUUGCGCCAAAAAAGAAAGUGAGCCGUGAGCGAAGACCUAAACCGAUCAAACAUGAGAAGAACCGAUCAAAUAUUAGAUAUGGGGCUAAGGACGGGUGUGAUACGAGAUCUAGGGGGUAAACCCUAAACCUUAGUUCACGGGCAUGAGAUCUUACGGAAGUGAAAUGAGAUCUGGGUGGGCAUGAAAACUUACAAAUGUGUGGAGAGAGCGAGCUCCCUUCGCCGCCGCAGGACGCGAGGAUGGCAGGAAGAAGCUGGCCGCCGAGGAAUUCACAGUCGGGAAGGGGCUCCCCGCUGAUCGCCAGGGAGGACCUAGCGUCACGCCGCCAAACGACUGAGGGCGCGGAUCGACAUGAUCCGAUACCUCUCUCCGAUCGUUCUCCCUCACGUGCCUCACUCUUCUCCCAAAUCAGCCGCCUCACUUUCUUCUGCUCUCCGGAUCAGCCGCCUCUCCUACCUCGCUCGGCCGCUCCCCUCCUUGGUGGGUGUUGGCUAUGUGUUGAAGCAUACCGAUGGGCCAGCGGGAGGUCAAUCGGCCUGGCCCAAUAGAGGUUUUGGUUGUCGUGAUGUGCUAGCUUAGGCCUACUCGGAUGUAUCCACACCGUCCGAUGAGUCAGGUGGGCUGGCCAAUGGCCUAGCGUGCAUGCAAAGCACAUGCAUGCGCAUCAUUUUUUUUCUUUUUUUUCUUUUCUAUUUACUUCCUUCCAAUUUUUUAUAUUUCUAGACCCUUUAUAGAUAUUUCAUUUUAAUCUGCAUAUAUUUUAUUAUUUCUUUGCUUCUGUUUUUCUUUCCUUCUACUUUUUUUUCUUUCUUUUCCACGCAUUCCUUCUAAUUCUCUUUAAACUCGUGCGGUUUGCUCCUUUGUUGAAGUAGGAGGGAGAGAUCUUUUGAAUUUAAAACUUUGAUCUUGAUCUCAUUUCUCUCUCAAACCAUAAAUACAUUUUGGAUGCCAUUUAAACUACUGUGUUCCUAAAAAUUAAUAUAAUACAAUGAGAUCCAAUAUGACUAUAUUGUGUUGUAUUUUUAAAAAUCAUCAUUUUGGAUAUACUAUCUCAACUUUUUUUUAAUGUAAAAAAUUUGGUGAAUGUAAAAAAAGGUUGAGAGGAAAAAAGUUGGUGAAUGCAAAAAAAUGUUGAGCAAAAAUAUUGGUGAAUCUAAAAACGUUAAAGAUAAAUGUUGGUACACAUAAAAAAGGUUGGUCAACGUCAAGAAGUAUUGGUGACAAUUAAGAUAGACUUUUUAUAAAAAAAAUUUGCUGACGAUGUCAACAAAUGUUGAUAGAUAUCUAAAAAUGUUAAAGAAAAAAUCUUGUACAUAGGUUUAAUAUAAGUUUUAAAGAUACAUAGUUUAUCUGCCGUCUCCAUCCGAGCUCCCCGAGCACCAUCGCGUUCUCCAUCUCCGGCCUCCUUCAACGUGGGUAUCAAAUCAAGUUUCUCUCUUAUUAUUCCAUAUUUUACUCUAUUGAUUGAGUAAAAUGCGCCUGCACCUCUAAACUGAUGAGGGUACGUCACUUAGGUUCAUCAACUUUGAAAGUGCAUUUUUGAGUCUAUACACUUUUAAAACCGUUCAUCACAGGUCCAUAUACAUCAAGCAUGCAUCUAUGGCUGACAUGGCGUACUGACGGCUGCGGCAUUUGGUCGAGCGUGUCACCGGCGUCAUCCUCAAAUUUCACGGGCACCUCCCUCCGGCAACCCACGGGUGGUGGGGGGGGGGGGGGGGGGGGGGNN
Molecule: long non-coding RNA, 3728 nt
Filed under: Setaria italica (foxtail millet)
Lineage: Eukaryota; Viridiplantae; Streptophyta; Magnoliopsida; Poales; Poaceae
Description: long non-coding RNA (SITA_LNC007407)
Source: RNAcentral